This 1375-nucleotide ribosomal RNA is filed under the name uncultured bacterium. RNAcentral describes it as "bacterial SSU rRNA". It matches the Rfam family "Bacterial small subunit ribosomal RNA". The record is from RNAcentral.
AACGAACGCUGGCGGCAGGCUUAACACAUGCAAGUCGAACGAUAUAGUGGCAGACGGGCGAGUAACGCGUGGAAACGUGCCUUUCACUACGGAAUAGCUUUUGGAAACGAAAGGUAAUACCGUAUACGCCCUCCGGGGGAAAGAUUUAUCGGUGAAAGAUCGGUCCGCGUUAGAUUAGCUAGUUGGUGAGGUAACGGCUCACCAAGGCUACGAUCUAUAGCUGGUCUGAGAGGAUGAUCAGCCACACUGGGACUGAGACACGGCCCAGACUCCUACGGGAGGCAGCAGUGGGGAAUAUUGCACAAUGGGCGCAAGCCUGAUGCAGCCAUGCCGCGUGAAUGAUGAAGGCCUUAGGGUUGUAAAAUUCUUUCGCCAAGGAUGAUAAUGACAGUACUUGGUAAAGAAGCCCCGGCUAACUUCGUGCCAGCAGCCGCGGUAAUACAAAGGGGGCUAGCGUUGUUCGGAAUUACUGGGCGUAAAGCGCACGUAGGCGGACUUUUAAGUCAGAUGUGAAAUCCCGAGGUUCAACCUCGGAACUGCAAUUGAAACUGGGAGUCUAGAGAUCAGGAGAGGUUAGGGGGAAUACCGAGUGUAGAGGUGGAAUUCGUAGAUAUUCGGUGGAACACCAGUGGGGAAGGCGGCUAACUGGGACUGAUACUGACGCUGAGGUGCGAAAGUGUGGGGAGCAAACGGGAUUAGAUACCCUGGUAGUCCACACCGUAAACGAUGAGUGCUAGUUGUCUGCAGGCAUGCCUGUAGGUGACGCAGCUAACGCAUUAAGCACUCCGCCUGGGGAGUACGGCCGCAAGGUUAAAACUCAAAGAAAUUGACGGGGGCCCGCACAAGCGGUGGAGCAUGUGGUUUAAUUCGAAGCAACGCGCAGAACCUUACCUACGCUUGACAUGCCUGGACGACUCCGAGAGAUCGGUUUCUCCCUUCGGGGCCAGUGCACAGGUGCUGCAUGGCUGUCGUCAGCUCGUGUCGUGAGAUGUUGGGUUAAGUCCCGCAACGAGCGCAACCCUCAUCCUUAGUUGCCAUCACGUUUGGGUGGGCACUCUAGGGAAACUGCCGGUGCUAAGCCGGAGGAAGGCGGGGAUGACGUCAAGUCCUCAUGGCCCUUACGCGUAGGGCUACACACGUGCUACAAUGGCAGUGACAAUGGGAUAAUCCCCAAAAGCUGUCUCAGUUCGGAUUGUCGGCUGCAACUCGCCGGCAUGAAGUUGGAAUCGCUAGUAAUCGUGGAUCAGCAUGCCACGGUGAAUACGUUCCCGGGCCUUGUACACACCGCCCGUCACACCAUGGGAGUUGGAUCUACCCGAAGAUUGUGAGCUAACUUCGGAGGCAGCAAGCCACGGUAGGUUCAGCGACUGGGGUG